UGGAUCUUUGCUCAGUAUAAGAAAACUUACCCUGAACAUUUACUGGUUGAUCCCACACUCACUAACAGAGCUUGUGAUUGAAGAUCAUGUAGUAUUUUCCUAGGUGCUUCUUGAUGCUGCCUUUGAAACAGUGAUUGUACUUGACCUUGUGUCUGAAGGUCAUUGAGGUCAGAUAGUGAUGGAGUUGUCAGAAUGUUCUUUGAGGGAGGUAAUAGCUUGCCUGCCUCAUCUGCCUGUCGCUAUGUUUGUUCAGAUUUAUCAACUUUGUGGUAUUUAGAAUAACUGAACAGUUUAUUAUGAUAAUAAAUUGUAUUGUUGACAUGUCUUGGAUUGCUAUCAUGUCUUCCCUGAUAAUGGCAACACGGCUGAUCUGGUUUGUGGAACAUGCAUUUUAAGUUUAUGUUUUGAGGAAGUAUGCUGUGUGUGUGUAUCUUGCUAUUUGUAAUGUUGGCCCACAAUAUUCAUCAAAAUAUAAUCUGCAAAUCACCCUGAUCAAUGUCCAACACUGGGCCCAUUCCUGGAAGGGAAGGGAGCAGAAGUCAGUGUUGAAGUAUGUGAUCAUCUUAUCUUUGUGAUGGCUUGGUGGAACUGGGCAUUGAUCUUCUUCUCAUUUCGGUUCGCACCUAUGGGCACUAUUUUAACAUGAGCCUCCAUUAUGUUUUAACUUGGUUUUUAAGCAUAUUUUUAGUAGGAAUCAUCAACUUGAGAAGUGUCAAUGGAAUAUGGAGCUGUUCCCUUGUAACAAUUUGAUAAUGCAGACAUGAUGCUAUAUAAUCAUCAUUGAGCUGAGCUGAAGGUCUGUAGUGCUGAAACUCAAUAUUGCGGAGUUGCUUCCCUUGACAAUGCCUGGAGCCAUUCCUAUGUGUUUCAUUAUAAUGUUCUGCAGUUUCUCCAAUGAUGACUGAUGGGAUUUUAAACCAAAUAUGUUCAUGUUUACAUUCAUCCAUGGCAUUUGUUCUUCCUGAUUUUCAUGUGGCUGUCUUUAGUAAGACUUUAUUUUAUCACACAAUCAAACUGAUAAUGAUGAUAUCAAAUCAUCCCCAUCUGGCUAGAGGCAGGAAUUGAAAUAGCUGGACAUUUUUUAUGUGAUUUUAUCCUGGAUUAAAACUGGUCCGUGUCAAUCUAUGCUUGUAAGAGGUGAUUAAAAUGAAUUAGGGUGUCAGGUUUGGUGAUGUGGUUGAUUGCAUGUUGUUGCAUUGUGGCAUGCUCAUUGUAUCAACCACUGGUUUGUCUGGCCCAGAUUUGUAUACUUCCAGGUAGACUUGAUUAUAAAACUCAAAAGGAGUGAAGGAUCACCAUAUGUGAAUCUGUCAUGCCACGACAGAGAUGAACAAUAUUAAGAAUCAGUUUGCCUUAACUUUGGUUGAGUAGUAUAGAUGGAGUAAUGCUGACUGUGGCUCUCACUCUCACUCUCACUCACUCUCUCUCACUCACACACACACACACACACACACACACACACACUCACUCACUCACUCACUCACUUAGGGAUCAGCUUUAUGUUCUGGCCAUUUGUUAUUGUCUUGUAGAUGUUCCCAAGUUAAAAGGAAAUGUAGACAUCCAUGAUCAUAAUUAUGUUUCGUACCUCUGAGAAAAGUUGCCUUAAGGGCAUUUCCAGUUACUAUCCUAAAUUCAAUUUUUACAAUAUUAUUUUUCUCUAUUCAAAAUUCAAAAUGCCACCAUAGGGAAUUAUAGAGUCAUCCACAGGUUGUAGCCAUGCUCAUAGUAUGACAUAACAUUUGUAAAAGUGUGAAGUAAUGGCUAGAUUAGAAAUUGCUGUCAGAAGAGAAUUGGUGUGGGGGUGUGAAUGGCUACUUGUAGAUGUUUGAGCUAUGCUGGUGUGAGUGUGACCACUGUAGCAGAAUAUUAGCUCCCUGACUGUGUAAAAUGUCAUCUUAAACUUUGGGGUGUUGAGUGAACUUCUCACACCAUGUAGCAUACAGAAUGCAUAGUGUAACCAUCCUGUCAUCCCCUGUAUCAUACACCCACAGUCUGUGUCUUUUAGUGAGGAUAGGAAAGUUUGUCAAGGUCGUGUUCAGGGGACAAAAGGUCAUUGUGAGAAACUGCCACAGUAAACAUUUACCCAAAGUCAGGUAGUGAAGGCGAAGGACUCUGUCCCACGCCCUGCUCGGACCUAGAUAAUGAUAAGCUUGGGACACUUGUUUCUGUGACAUUAAGUGUAAGGUUGAGGUCUGACAGUAGUAUAGACAAUGAGAACAUCAGUGGGACAUCAUUUGGUGUUCUGCUAAAUUUGUCCUGUGUUUGUGGGGGCUGUUGGAGCAGACGUGAGGUGAAAACGCUUAAUAAUGGGGGGUGGUCCCAUUCUCUUCUGUCUGUACUACUUCUGACAGUGUUGGCUGUAGAUACACGUGAUGAUUUUAGAGGUGAGCAAGAUACACUAGGUCCAGAACUCCAGCUUAUACCAUCCUGAGUUAAGUCACAGUAACACAGUAGAUGGGCAACGUAGUGUGCCACCAGUGCAUCAACCAUAGCUGUUUGGGGCAACGUAGAGUGACAACAGUAGCUGUAACGGAUCAUUCCAGGUUGUAUUCCUCCACCAUCUCAGGACCGUUCCUAGCAUGUCUAAAACAUGGUUGUAAUAUUUAUUUGCCAGAAUGGUUGCUGUUGGAUGAAUGAUGUGAAUCUGGUUGUCAUGGUUUUUCUUGCAUUGUUUUUAACCUGUGUAAUGUAUAAUUUAUUCACCUGUUUUAUCUGCGCACUGCACGGUUAAUUUGCUGUAGCUAUCACUCGGAACAUAUGUUAGCAUAAGCAUGGUCCUCAUACAGCUAGUAAAGACAAACUAUAUAAAGGUAUGGUGUGGUCUGUGAUUUCACAAUUCAUUGACUUGUCUUUUGACUUGCACUUGAUAGUUUGUGACUCGUAGAAAACUGGACAUAGACAUUUAUCAGUCAUCUUAAGACUGGCUUUGUGAUGGGUCCUGGGGUAGGGUUAGGGGGCUGUUUUCUCUUCUUGAUCUUUUUCCAGAAAUACUGUGAAAAAAAACCCCAACAUUACUUGCAUUUUGUCCAGCUCACCUUUCAGACAUUUUUCUUGUUUUGUUCAACCAUUGACCUGUCUCUUGUCUCAAAUAUACUACUCAGAAUUAGUGGCAUGAUCAUGACAUGACAGUAACUACAGAAAUGUGAAAAUAAGAUGAGUGUUUGUUAAAUUUUCAGCAUUUUCUAUAUAUUCAACAUUUUGUAAGGAUCACACCUUUAACUGAAGAUGGCUAUUUUAGUCUUAACCAAAAGUGAUGGAUGUUUAAUUGUCAUUUCUUUAAAAUGCUGCAUUGAUGUCCAAAAUAUAAUUAGCCAGUUUAUAUAAUUAAUCAGGAAUAUACUUCCUUCACAUAUCUGCUUUGUAAGAGGCGACUAACGGGAUCGGGUGGUCAGGCUCUCUGGCUUCGUUGACACAUGUCAUCUGUUCCCAAUUGAGCAAAUCUAUGCUCAUGAUGUUGAUCACUGGAUUGUCUGGUCCAGACUCGAUUAUUUACAGACCGCCGCCAUAUAGCUGGAAUAUUGCUGAGUGCGGCAUAAAACUCAACUCACUCACUCAUAUGUCUACUGUAGCAAAAAGAAAAGAACUUGAACUCAUGACAAGAAGUACAAAGAGAAAGUUCAGCAAGAAUCCCUGACCUUGUGCAGGCACAGUGUUAUCUUUGGUUGUUUCUUCCAACUCCUUUCGUUGUUUUGAAGAUAUUUUCUGUGAAUGGAAUUUAAUUAUCUAGCGUUGGUGUCAAGCAGUAUUUUGUUCAAAGCAGAUGAGGUUUGUUUCACUAUAUGCAAACAUAAUAAAUACAUGUGCCAUUGUUUACCAUGUGCUUCUGACCUGCAGAAGCUGUGGGUAUGAUCUAUGGUAUGUAUGUACCAGAUGUCUUCAUGCGCUACUCAAGAGAACUUAAAGUAUA
This 3907-nucleotide long non-coding RNA is filed under the name Haliotis rubra (blacklip abalone). RNAcentral's name for it is "uncharacterized LOC124275075". Lineage: Eukaryota; Metazoa; Mollusca; Gastropoda; Lepetellida; Haliotidae. The record is from RNAcentral.